Molecule: ribosomal RNA, 257 nt
Filed under: uncultured bacterium
Lineage: Bacteria
Description: partial 16S ribosomal RNA
Rfam family: Bacterial small subunit ribosomal RNA
Source: RNAcentral
UACGUAGGGCGCAAGCGUUUGUCCGGAAUUAUUGGGCGUAAAGAGCUCGUAGGCGGCCUGUUGCGUCCGCUGUGAAAUCCCGGGGCUUAACCCCGGGCCUGCAGUGGAUACGGGCAGGCUGGAGGCAGGCAGGGGAGAACGGGAAUUCCCGGUGUAGCGGUGAAAUGCGCAGAUAUCAGGAGGAACACCGGUGGCGAAGGCGGGUCUCUGGGCCGAUACUGACGCUGGAGGAGCGAAAGCGUGGGGGAGCAAACAGG